This 301-nucleotide ribosomal RNA is filed under the name uncultured bacterium. Its description in RNAcentral is "partial 16S ribosomal RNA". It matches the Rfam family "Bacterial small subunit ribosomal RNA", at positions 509 to 809 of the family's 1533-position model. The record is from RNAcentral.
CAGUCGCCACGGUAAUACGGAGGAUCCAAGCGUUAUCCGGAAUCAUUGGGUUUAAAGGGUCCGUAGGCGGUCUUGUAAGUCAGUGGUGAAAGCCCAUCGCUCAACGGUGGAACGGCCAUUGAUACUGCAGGACUUGAAUUAUUGGGAAGUAACUAGAAUAUGUAGUGUAGCGGUGAAAUGCUUAGAGAUUACAUGGAAUACCAAUUGCGAAGGCAGGUUACUACCAAUUGAUUGACGCUGAUGGACGAAAGCGUGGGUAGCGAACAGGAUUAGAGACCCCUGUAGUCCCUGUCUCUUAUAA